Molecule: ribosomal RNA, 484 nt
Filed under: uncultured bacterium
Lineage: Bacteria
Description: partial 16S ribosomal RNA
Rfam family: Bacterial small subunit ribosomal RNA
Source: RNAcentral
AUUGAACGCUGGCGGCAGGCCUAACACAUGCAAGUCGAGCGGAUGAAGCGAGCUUGCUCCUGGAUUCAGCGGCGGACGGGUGAGUAAUGCCUAGGAAUCUGCCUGGUAGUGGGGGAUAACGUCCGGAAACGGGCGCUAGUACCGCAUACGUCCUGAGGGAGAAAGUGGGGGAUCUUCGGACCUCACGCUAUCAGAUGAGCCUAGGUCGGAUUAGCUAGUUGGUGGGGUAAAGGCCUACCAAGGCGACGAUCCGUAACUGGUCUGAGAGGAUGAUCAGUCACACUGGAACUGAGACACGGUCCAGACUCCUAAGGGAGGCAGCAGUGGGGAAUAUUGGACAAUGGGCGAAAGCCUGAUCCAGCCAUGCCGCGUGUGUGAAGAAGGUCUUCGGAUUGUAAAGCACUUUAAGUUGGGAGGAAGGGCAGUAAGUUAAUACCUUGCUGUUUUGACGGUACCAACAGAAUAAGCACCGGCUAACUUCGUG